Haemorhous mexicanus (house finch) is the source of this 1660-nucleotide non-coding RNA. The record is from the annotation of a RefSeq genome assembly. Lineage: Eukaryota; Metazoa; Chordata; Aves; Passeriformes; Fringillidae.
UCCGCUCGGCUCCUGUGCGGCUGCCGCGGGGCCGGGGCCGGCAGCGAUGUUGGCCGGGCCGGGGCCGGGGCUGCUGGCCUUGGCCUUGGCCUUGUGGCCGGCAGGGCUCUGGGCACAGCUGAGGCUGCAGGAGGCCGGCGGAGGGCAGCGAGCGCCCGGGGACUCCGUCACCCUCUCCUGCCGCGGAUCCGGAUUCGCCUUCAAGGAUCGCUCUAUUUGGUGGUACCGUCAGUCACCCGGAGGCAGCCCGGAGUGGGUGUCCUUGAUCAGCCGCCCCAAAGGCACUACAGUGGACUACGGGGCAGCAGUGAAGGGUCGGGCCGAGGUUUCCCGGGACAAUUCCCGAUCCGAGGCUUAUCUCUCUUUGCGGUCCUUGCAAGCUCAGGACUCUGCCCGGUAUUUCUGUGCCCUCUCACGGGGACAGGAAAUGCAGAUGAGCUUUAACACAAACCUCCCGGGGCCCGGCAGAGCCUGCCUUAGAUGCCGGGAAGGUGAGAGUGGCCAGGGGCCGGGAGCCAGUGGGUCUCAAGGCUGUUUCUGAGAAGUCAGGUGCCAUCGCUGUGCACCACAGGUGUUCCUGGCCUUUACUGCACACCGCAGGGCUUCUGAUUUAUUGCCAAUAUGAUUUAGAGUAGAACUGUGAGCAAUUACAAAUUGCCUUGCUCCCACUUCAUCUCUGUUUGCUGCCAGGCUCAUCCUCAAAGCUGCAUUCCUGAAUUCUCUGCCUCUUCUCUCCAAAAAGAAGGAGACAGCAGGAAAUUAGGUGUGGGAUAAUUUCUUAACAAUGAAUCACUGGUCUUCAUCUAUACUGCUUCUUGUUCCCUUCCUCCCUCAGUCUGCAGUCCAAUGGCUCCAGCAUGGUUCCUUCACUAGAGCUGCUGUCCUUUAGAAUCAACCCUGUCCAGCAUCGGUUCUCCACAGGCUCCACUUCCCCAGUGUCAUGGCCAAACAGUUUGUGAACAUUUCCAAGCACGGAGACCCCAGGAGGUGCCUGAGCAGCCUGUGCCGGUGUUUGGGCACUUGCACACUGCGAAAAACCAUUUCUCUCUGAUGUUCAGUGAGAACCUCUUGUGAUUUUGUGUUUGUGCUCACUGAUCAUUGUCCUGUCAAUGGUCAUGGCUGAGAAGAGCUUGGCCAGGUCCUCGUGUUUCUGUACACUUAUGACAACCCCAACCAGCUUCUGCAUCUCCCUGGUAAACAGGGCCACCUCUGUCAGCCUGUUUAACUUAGAGAGAUGCUCUGCUUCAACAGAUGAAAAACAAAGAAAGCUGAGCCUGCGAGAGAAGACCAAUAAAGAAUAUACUCUCUACUUCUCCAUCAAUAGGCAGGUUUUAGCCAUUUCUAAGAAAAAUUUUCUUUCUCUCAUAGAAUGAUUCCUUGGUAAGGCAAAGGCCAUCACUCCAAAUGUCCUCUUUCCUCUAGUCCAUGGGUUUUAUUUCUGAGUACCACGUAUUACAGAGUGAAAUACUCCUUUGCUCAAUUGGCCAUAGUGGUACUGCAGUGUCCUAUGGCAGCGUAUUGCCAAAACGCAGGCACUCACCGUGGAGAUAGAGGGAGAAAAAGAAAAGGCCUCUGAGCAAGAGUUAAAAGAGCCUCAUGUCUAUAACGCACUUUGCACACAAAGAGAUAAUAAAGCCUCGCACGGCGCUGUCUCACCUCC